This 409-nucleotide ribosomal RNA is filed under the name Verrucomicrobiota bacterium. RNAcentral's name for it is "Verrucomicrobia bacterium partial 16S ribosomal RNA". It matches the Rfam family "Bacterial small subunit ribosomal RNA", at positions 355 to 776 of the family's 1533-position model. The record is from RNAcentral. Lineage: Bacteria; Pseudomonadati; Verrucomicrobiota.
UGGGGAAUAUUGCACAAUGGGCGGAAGCCUGAUGCAGCGACGCCGCGCGGGGGAUGAAGGCCUUCGGGUUGUAAACUCCUUUCGACAGGGACGAAGCUCUUGUGACGGUACCCGUAUAAGAAGCACCGGCUAACUACGUGCCAGCAGCCGCGGUAAUACGUAGGGUGCGAGCGUUGUCCGGAAUUACUGGGCGUAAAGAGCUCGUAGGUGGUUUGUCGCGUCGUCUGUGAAAUUCCGGGGCUUAACUCCGGGCGUGCAGGCGAUACGGGCUGACUUGAGUGCUGUAGGGAAGACUGGAAUUCCUGGUGUAGCGGUGAAAUGCGCAGAUAUAAGGAGGAACACCGAUGGCGAAGGCAGGUCUCUGGGCAGUAACUGACGCUGAGGAGCGAAAGCAUGGGUAGCGAACAGG